RNAcentral lists this ribosomal RNA (253 nucleotides) under uncultured bacterium. RNAcentral's name for it is "partial 16S ribosomal RNA". It matches the Rfam family "Bacterial small subunit ribosomal RNA", at positions 524 to 776 of the family's 1533-position model. The record is from RNAcentral.
UACGUAGGGGGCAAGCGUUGUCCGGAUUUAUUGGGCGUAAAGAGCGUGUAGGCGGCCUGACAGGUCUGCUGUGAAAACUCGAGGCUCAACCUCGAGAUGUCGGCGGAAACCGUCUGGCUAGAGUCCGGAAGAGGAGAGUGGAAUUCCUGGUGUAGCGGUGAAAUGCGCAGAUAUCAGGAAGAACACCUAUGGCGAAGGCAGCUCUCUGGGACGGUACUGACGCUGAGGCACGAAAGCGUGGGUAGCAAACAGG